AGUGAACGCUGGCGGUAGGCCUAACACAUGCAAGUCGAACGGCAGCACAGUAAGAGCUUGCUCUUACGGGUGGCGAGUGGCGGACAGGUGAGGAAUACAUCGGAAUCUACUUUUUCGUGGGGGAUAACGUAGGGAAACUUACGCUAAUACCGCAUACGACCUACGGGUGAAAGCAGGGGAUCUUCGGACCUUGCGCGAUUGAAUGAGCCGAUGUCGGAUUAGCUAGUUGGCGGGGUAAAGGCCCACCAAGGCGACGAUCCGUAGCUGGUCUGAGAGGAUGAUCAGCCACACUGGAACUGAGACACGGUCCAGACUCCUACGGGAGGCAGCAGUGGGGAAUAUUGGACAAUGGGCGCAAGCCUGAUCCAGCCAUACCGCGUGGGUGAAGAAGGCCUUCGGGUUGUAAAGCCCUUUUGUUGGGAAAGAAAAGCAGCAGGUUAAGACCCCGCUGUUCUGACGGUACCCAAAGAAUAAACACCGGCUAACUUCGU
Molecule: ribosomal RNA, 491 nt
Filed under: uncultured bacterium
Lineage: Bacteria
Description: partial 16S ribosomal RNA
Rfam family: Bacterial small subunit ribosomal RNA
Source: RNAcentral